AUAAGCGUUGGAAACGACGUCUAAUACUGGAUAUGAUCACUGGCCGCAUGGUCUGGUGGUGGAAAGAUUUUUUGGUUGGGGAUGGACUCGCGGCCUAUCAGCUUGUUGGUGAGGUAAUGGCUCACCAAGGCGACGACGGGUAGCCGGCCUGAGAGGGUGACCGGCCACACUGGGACUGAGACACGGCCCAGACUCCUACGGGAGGCAGCAGUGGGGAAUAUUGCACAAUGGGCGAAAGCCUGAUGCAGCAACGCCGCGUGAGGGAUGACGGCCUUCGGGUUGUAAACCUCUUUUAGUAGGGAAGAAGCGAAAGUGACGGUACCUGCAGAAAAAGCACCGGCUAACUACGUGCCAGCAGCCGCGGUAAUACGUAGGGUGCAAGCGUUGUCCGGAAUUAUUGGGCGUAAAGAGCUCGUAGGCGGUUUGUCGCGUCUGCUGUGAAAUCCCGAGGCUCAACCUCGGGCUUGCAGUGGGUACGGGCAGACUAGAGUGCGGUAGGG
RNAcentral lists this ribosomal RNA (500 nucleotides) under Curtobacterium flaccumfaciens. Its description in RNAcentral is "bacterial SSU rRNA". It matches the Rfam family "Bacterial small subunit ribosomal RNA", at positions 143 to 656 of the family's 1533-position model. The record is from RNAcentral. Lineage: Bacteria; Bacillati; Actinomycetota; Actinomycetes; Micrococcales; Microbacteriaceae.